GGCGGCCGCAGCGGUGCCGGCGACUCCCGCGUGCUGCAGGAGCUGCAGGAGCGACCGAGCCAGCGGCAUCAGAUGCUGUACCUGCGGCAGAAAGACGCUAAUGAACUGAAGACGAUCCUUCGAGAGCUAAAGUACAGAAUUGGCAUCCAGUCGGCCAAGUUACUUCGGCAUCUGAAGCAGAAAGAUAGGCUUCUGCAUAAAGUGCAGAGGAACUGUGAUAUUGUGACUGCCUGCUUGCAGGCUGUGUCACAGAAGAGAACAUGGCAGAACAGUAUGCUCAGACAGUCUCGUGCUGUUGCCAGGCUGGAAUGCUGGAAUGCAGUGGCGCAAUCCUGGCUCACUCAACCUCUGCCUCCCUGGUUCAAGUGAUUCUCCUGCCUCAGCCUCACAAGUAGCUGGGAUUACAGGCACAUGCCACCACGCCCAGCUAGUAUUUGUAUUUUUAGUAGAGACGGGGUUUCACCAUGUUGGCCAGGAUGGUCUUGAUCUCCUGACCUCGUGAUCUGCCCGCCUCAGCCUCCCAAAGUGCUGGGAUUACAGGCGUGAGCCACUGCACCUGGCCAACUGUAAACUCUUUGAGGGUAGCGUAUGUACUG
Molecule: small RNA, 596 nt
Filed under: Pan troglodytes (chimpanzee)
Lineage: Eukaryota; Metazoa; Chordata; Mammalia; Primates; Hominidae
Description: processed transcript
Source: RNAcentral